RNAcentral lists this ribosomal RNA (496 nucleotides) under uncultured bacterium. RNAcentral describes it as "partial 16S ribosomal RNA". It matches the Rfam family "Bacterial small subunit ribosomal RNA", at positions 29 to 507 of the family's 1533-position model. The record is from RNAcentral.
AUGAACGCUGGCGGCGUGCCUAAUACAUGCAAGUCGAGCGAACGGACGAGAAGCUUGCUUCUCUGAUGUUAGCGGCGGACGGGUGAGUAACACGUGGAUAACCUACCUAUAAGACUGGGAUAACUUCGGGAAACCGGAGCUAAUACCGGAUAAUAUUUUGAACCGCAUGGUUCAAAAGUGAAAGACGGUCUUGCUGUCACUUAUAGAUGGAUCCGCGCUGCAUUAGCUAGUUGGUAAGGUAACGGCUUACCAAGGCAACGAUGCAUAGCCGACCUGAGAGGGUGAUCGGCCACACUGGAACUGAGACACGGUCCAGACUCCUACGGGAGGCAGCAGUAGGGAAUCUUCCGCAAUGGGCGAAAGCCUGACGGAGCAACGCCACGUGAGUGAUGAAGGUCUUCGGAUCGUAAAACUCUGUUAUUAGGGAAGAACAUAUGUGUAAGUAACUGUGCACAUCUUGACGGUACCUAAUCAGAAAGCCACGGCUAACUACGUG